RNAcentral lists this transfer RNA (72 nucleotides) under Medakamo hakoo. Its description in RNAcentral is "trnI-GAU". It matches the Rfam family "tRNA". Rfam says of the family: Transfer RNA (tRNA) molecules are approximately 80 nucleotides in length. Their secondary structure includes four short double-helical elements and three loops (D, anti-codon, and T loops). Lineage: Eukaryota; Viridiplantae; Chlorophyta; Trebouxiophyceae; Coccomyxaceae. The record is from RNAcentral.
GGGCUAUUAGUUCAGCGGUAGAACGCACCCCUGAUAAGGGUGAGGUCACUAGUUCAAGUCUAGUAUAGCCCA